This 301-nucleotide ribosomal RNA is filed under the name uncultured bacterium. RNAcentral's name for it is "partial 16S ribosomal RNA". It matches the Rfam family "Bacterial small subunit ribosomal RNA", at positions 509 to 807 of the family's 1533-position model. The record is from RNAcentral.
CAGUCGCCGCGGGAAUACGUAGGGUGCAAGCGUUAAUCGGAAUUACUGGGCGUAAAGCGUGCGCAGGCGGUUAUAUAAGACAGAUGUGAAAUCCCCGGGCUCAACCUGGGAACUUCAUUUGUGACUGUAUAGCUAGAGUACGGCAGAGGGGGAUGGAAUUCCGCGUGUAGCAGUGAAAUGCGUAUAUAUGCGGAGGAACACCGAUGGCGAAGGCAAUCCCCUGGGCCUGUACUGACGCUCAUGCACGAAAGCGUGGGGAGCAAACAGGAUUAGAUACCCCAGUAGUCCCUGUCUCUUAUAC